CCGGGUAUUGUACUGAGAAUUGAGUUCGAGAGAGAUUGUGAAUAAAAGUGUUUAUUAUAGUAAUUUUAAUGGUUGAGGCAUUAUCUGUGUUGUAUAUAUUGUUGUAAAUAGUUGAGCUUAGAUUUUGUAUUAUUGUUAUUCAUUGUUGUUACUAGCAUUUUGUCAUUCAAAGACCAAUCAAAGUCUAGAUAAAUACUUGAGCUAGCUAGCUCAACCUUAAUGUUAGCCUAUUAGCUAACGAAUUCGACUGCAUUCAUUUCAUUUGGAUUUUAGAAUGGGAAGAAAAUGACAUCUGCGAGUGCGAGUGAAGGGCAACUGGAAAGAGCUGGAUCCCAGAGGGGCUUCACUGAGGAAAAGGAGACGCCCCCAGAGGUUGAGGCGGAGAGUCCAUCCGCCGACUCAUCAGGAGCAUGCCCGGACAUUGUCGGGAGUGUGUACAGACAAAUCUUCCAGUUCCUGUGCCCUGCCAGUUCCUACACCCUGCCAUUUCCUGGUCUGUUCCUCCCUGCUUCUCCAUCCAGUCCUGAUCCAGUGUUUUUAUAUUUGCACGUCACAGGCAUGUACACAGAUAGGCCCCAAGUGGGGCCUCAGAGUCAAAAAGUGCUGAUGUUAAUUGUAUUUUAUUUUUUAUUUAUUUGUUAUUGAAAUUCUAUCACAUAAAGAUGGAAAUGUAUCCACAAAAAAACACACCUUAUCAAUUUA
This is a long non-coding RNA of Conger conger (European conger), 702 nucleotides long. RefSeq lists it as uncharacterized. The record is from RefSeq and is a predicted model, not a curated record. NCBI's taxonomy places the organism in Eukaryota, Metazoa, Chordata, Actinopteri, Anguilliformes, Congridae. The transcript has 3 exons.